ACUAAACUCAAAACCUUCCUUUUUUUUUUAGGAUUUCUUUUGUAAACACUAUAAAUCAGGCUUGUGAACAUCUUAAUCUCAUAAGAGAACCCCCAUAGAUGUGUUAAAAAGGAGAGAAAGAGCAAGAGUUAGGAUUUUAGGUUUUCAAGGAGUUAAAGUAAGAGAUGAUGAAAUUAUCAUGAUAUACAUGUUUAUUUUCAUAAUCUAACAUAGAAGAGUUAUUUGAUUUUAGUUUUAACUUAUAAGUAUUAUAUGUUUUAUAUGAAAUUGAAGAAAAAAGGAAGAAGUGAGAGAAUAAAAUUGAAUGAAAAGGAAAGGAGAAGGCUAAGGAGUGAAGGAAGAAAGAAACACAUCAUCUCAACCCUUUUGUUGUACAGUUAGACUUGAAGAAGUAAAGUCGAGCUAGGAGAUCUCUCAUCUCAUCACAUCUCCAAGAGCUACAAGAGUAGGUACUAUAUUUUGAGUUAAAAUGGCUUGUACAUAGGUAGACUAAAUGUGUUUCCAAGUGUUAGGGACUAAAAUGCAAACUCUUAAAACUUUAUCUAUUUUAGUAUUUUAAAUUGAAAUAUUUUGGUUCUAUAUGAAAUGAAUUAUUGAUAGUUAUAUAUAUGCUUGUAAUUGUGGUUUGAUAAUGAGAUAAUUUGGUUGAA
Molecule: long non-coding RNA, 650 nt
Organism: Gossypium arboreum
Lineage: Eukaryota; Viridiplantae; Streptophyta; Magnoliopsida; Malvales; Malvaceae
Exons: 2
Source: RefSeq, a predicted model, not a curated record